Leopardus geoffroyi (Geoffroy's cat) is the source of this 399-nucleotide long non-coding RNA. RefSeq lists it as uncharacterized. The transcript is spliced from 3 exons. The record is from RefSeq and is a predicted model, not a curated record. NCBI's taxonomy places the organism in Eukaryota, Metazoa, Chordata, Mammalia, Carnivora, Felidae.
AUGUCCUCAUCAGUCAGCAUCAUGAAUGGAGCUAGAACUCACAGGGAAGGUAGAAGUUUGCAUACAUGCUGUCUGGAAAGCACCAUUGCUUCAGAAUCAUCCACUACCUUGGCAUGUUACCAAAAUGAUGUAUGCAGCAAUUAUCUGGCCAAUCCAAAGUGAUUCUGUGCUCACUGCUGUCAUCAUAAUUGCCAUUGGAAUGUGAAGCCAAUGGAAAUAACCUGAGAAUUAGCCCUAAGUAGAAAUAAGAAGUGUGGAGACUAUGUCCCUAUUCUCCAUUGCCUGAUACUUACCAGCGACUGCAAUGUCCUUACAUGAUGGGAUGCUUGACCAAAGGAAAGGAAAGAUUGCAAAGUGCUUACAUCUCCAGCUCCUUUUACAUCUUAUAGUCGACUGAAA